AAACGAUUGAAGUCAGUCGUGUUCAUUGGAUUCAGCCGGUCUUCGGUGUAUUUCCUUUGAACGGGUCAACAUCAGUUUUGUCCGGUGGAUAAAGGUAGUAGGAAGGUGGCUCUUUCGGGAGUGUUAUAGCCUAUUGCCACAUACACUGGGGGAGACUGAGGACUGCAGCUUGCCUUUAUGGCCGGGGUUCGCCCACGUUCAAGCUUAGGAUGUUGACAUAAUGGCUUUAAACGA
Molecule: ribosomal RNA, 234 nt
Filed under: Apiotrichum sporotrichoides
Lineage: Eukaryota; Fungi; Basidiomycota; Tremellomycetes; Trichosporonales; Trichosporonaceae
Description: partial large subunit ribosomal RNA
Source: RNAcentral